Non-coding RNA from Pelobates cultripes (western spadefoot toad), 310 nucleotides. The record is from the annotation of a GenBank genome assembly. NCBI's taxonomy places the organism in Eukaryota, Metazoa, Chordata, Amphibia, Anura, Pelobatidae.
CUCACAGCAGCCUAAAUGUAAUCAUUUAUAGUCCUCAAUCUUGACAAAUUGGCACAAGACAGCAGAUGGAUUCAUAACUAAAUCUACCUGUGUCAGAACCUCUUCGUGGCUGUCAGUAGAUCUACAAGUAUACGCGGGAUUGCAAUAUGUAAACAGUGCCUUCAUUUUUAAGGCUGCAGGGGGGUCUUCUUUGCUCCAAAAAUACUUCAUUAAGAUGAAUUGAUUUUGGAGCUUAAAGGACCACUAUAGGCACCCUGACCACUUCAGCUUAAUGAAGUGGUCUGGGAACCAGGUCCAGCUAGGAUUAACC